GAGGCCUAACACAUGCAAGUCGAACGGGAUUCAGUAGCUUGCUACUGAUGAGAGUGGCGCACGGGUGAGUAACGCGUAUGCUACCUACCUCUUACAGGGGGAUAGCCCGGAGAAAUCCGGAUUAAUAUCCCAUGGUAUUUAUUGUCCGCAUGGAUAGUAAAUUAAAGAUUUAUCGGUAAGAGAUGGGCAUGCGUGACAUUAGUUUGUUGGUGAGGUAACGGCUCACCAAGACUACGAUGUCUAGGGGUUCUGAGAGGAUGAUCCCCCACACUGGUACUGAGACACGGACCAGACUCCUACGGGAGGCAGCAGUGAGGAAUAUUGGUCAAUGGGCGCAAGCCUGAACCAGCCAUCCCGCGUGAAGGAAGACGGCCCUAUGGGUUGUAAACUUCUUUUCUGCACCAAGAAUGGGCCUUACGUGUAAGGUUUUGACGGUAGUGCAGGAAUAAGCAUCGGCUAACUCCGUGCCAGCAGCCGCGGUAAUACGGAGGAUGCAAGCGUUAUCCGGAUUCAUUGGGUUUAAAGGGUGCGUAGGCGGAUAAGUAAGUCAGUGGUGAAAUCCUACAGCUCAACUGUAGAACUGCCAUUGAUACUGUCUAUCUUGAGUGUAAAUGAAGUGGGC
RNAcentral lists this ribosomal RNA (622 nucleotides) under bacterium enrichment culture clone PAH84-P9. RNAcentral's name for it is "bacterial SSU rRNA". It matches the Rfam family "Bacterial small subunit ribosomal RNA", at positions 43 to 662 of the family's 1533-position model. The record is from RNAcentral.